RNA transcript from Solanum pennellii, 921 nucleotides. It is a transcript of the gene named myosin heavy chain IB-like, with no coding region annotated. The record is from RefSeq and is a predicted model, not a curated record. The transcript has 5 exons. NCBI's taxonomy places the organism in Eukaryota, Viridiplantae, Streptophyta, Magnoliopsida, Solanales, Solanaceae.
AUGUCCACAUUUCCAUUGCUCCAAAAAAACGCUCUAUCCGUUCAAUUCUACCUUAAUGUGGGGACAAUUGAGUCCUGCUGUGGGAAUCCGAGUGAGGUAACUGUCACACGCGACACGUUUGCUUCCACCAACCUAACAAUCUCUACACAUCGGCACUUUUCGUCACCCUCUUCCUUCCUUUCGUCGCCGGCGACGGCAUGGUUUCAAUCAUCAAAUAGGAAAGUCCAGUUAUCGGCCCAAGCCCAAACCCGGCCUGUCCUUGACAAAGACGAACGGAUCGCUAAGGACGAUGCAGAUGCUGAAAGUUUGAAGCGGGCGCCCACUGAUAGCAAUGUCACGGAAGAUCAAAAUCGAGAUCCUUUCAUGGGAGUAAAGGUACGGAGAAAAGCUUCGUUUUAUAGAAAUUACAUCGGCGAUUACCUUGACGUGCCUUCUCGACCCUAUCUCAUGAAGAUUCUAGAAAAACAAGGUGACAAGAAAGUCCUCUUUGCAGACAAAGUUUUGAAGUUCACAAGUACAGGGAAGAUGAAGAGGCGCAUUCUUCUUGUAACUGAUUUUGCCGUUUACAUUGUGGAUCCAGACAUUGAUGCACUUAAAAGGCGGAUUUCCCUGGCAGCUGUUGAAAAGCUCUGUUUGAGUGAACUAAGUGAUAAUUUCUUAGCAAUUAUUAUACCAACUGAAUAUGAUCUACUGAUAGCCAGUACUCGGAAGACAGAAAUUGUAUCUGUCUUAGUAGAUGCUACCAGGUGUCAAUCCAACUACGAACUUGAGGUGCUACUCUCUAAUAGAUUUGAGUACAAUGCAACUUCCGAACUAGUAAAAGAAAUUGACUUUAAGGAAACUGAAGUUGUGAGAUAUCUUUUAAUCCCAGAGGGUGCGAGAACAAGAAUUGUGCGGAAGUGAGUUGCACCUUUAGUGUAG